GAGCGGAGUUAUACGCUGGCAAUCCCCUUCGGGGGAGAGCCUUGUAUAAUUUAGCGGCGGACGGGUGAGUAACAGGUAGAUAAUCUGCCCUGGACAUUGGGAUAACAGCCAGAAAUGGUUGCUAAUACCGAAUAAGCACACACUAUCGCAUGGUAGAGUGUGAAAAGAUUUAUCGGUUCAGGAGGAGUCCGCCUUAUAUUAGCUAGUUGGUGGGGUAAAAGCCUACCAAGGCGACGAUCUAUAGCCGAACUGAGAGGUUGAUCGGCCACACUGGGACUGAGACACGGCCCAGACUCCUACGGGAGGCAGCAGUGAGGGAUAUUGCACAAUGGGCGAAAGCCUGAUGCAGCAACGCCGCGUGAAGGAAGAAGGUUUUCGGAUCGUAAACUUCUAUCGAUGGGGACGAAUAAUGACGGUACCCAGGUAAAAAGCCCCGGCUAACUACGUGCCAGCAGCCGCGGUAAUAAU
RNAcentral lists this ribosomal RNA (468 nucleotides) under uncultured bacterium. RNAcentral's name for it is "bacterial SSU rRNA". It matches the Rfam family "Bacterial small subunit ribosomal RNA", at positions 38 to 526 of the family's 1533-position model. The record is from RNAcentral.